AGAUUUAGUAUCUCAGCAGCCAGCAUUACGAGGUGAGUUUCCUUCCGGUAGGAAUGGGUCUACGGCCACAAUGCCGACCCGUUUAGUUAGCAGCAGUUUCGGACUUUGGUCUGAUGCAGUAGUUAGUGUGCUUGACGUCUUUGUGAUUCAAGCAUGUCUUUGUGUUAUGUGUUCCGGACUUCGGUCCGAUGCAGUAUGCAGUAUAUGUGUUAUGAUUAUAUUAUGCUAUGUUCAGUCAGAUUCCGGACUUCGGUUCGAUGCAGAGGGCAAGGCCCUGUUAGUUCCGGACAUUGGUCCGAUGCAGUUUCCAGACUUCGGUCCGAUGCAAAGGGCAAGGCCCUGUUAGUUCCGGACUUCGGUCCGAUGCAGAGGGCAAGGCCCUGUUAGUUCCGGACUUCGGUCCGAUGCAGAGGGCAAGGCCCUGUUAGUUCCGAACUUCGGUCCGAUGCAGUUUUCGGACUUUAGUCCGAUGCAGAGGGCAAGGCCCUUGUCAGUUUCCGGACUUUGGUCUGAUGCAGUCCCGGACUUCGGUCCGAUGCAGUUUCCGAAUUUCGGUCCGAUGUAGUGGGCAAGGCCCAGUAUGUGCUUUAUGUGUUAUUGUAUGGUAUAUGGUAGUUUGGGGGACCUCACUAAGCUUCGUGCUUACAGUUUCAGUUUUGGUUUUAGGUACUUCCGCUAGCAAGGGGAAGAGCUUGGGUUGAUGGCAUG
RNAcentral lists this long non-coding RNA (708 nucleotides) under Lactuca sativa (garden lettuce). Its description in RNAcentral is "long non-coding RNA (LSAT_LNC000375)". The record is from RNAcentral. Lineage: Eukaryota; Viridiplantae; Streptophyta; Magnoliopsida; Asterales; Asteraceae.